UACGUAGGGUGCAGGCGUUAAUCGGAAUUACUGGGCGUAAAGCGUGCGCAGGCGGUUUGCUAAGACAGGUGUGAAAUCCCCGGGCUUAACCUGGGAACUGCGCUUGUUACUGGCAAGCUAGAGUGUGGCAGAGGGGGGUGGAAUUCCAGGUGUAGCAGUGAAAUGCGUAGAGAUCUGGAGGAACACCAGAGGCGAAGGCGGCGACCUGGACAGGUACUGACACUCAACUACGAAAGCGUGGGGAGCAAACAGG
This 253-nucleotide ribosomal RNA is filed under the name uncultured bacterium. Its description in RNAcentral is "partial 16S ribosomal RNA". It matches the Rfam family "Bacterial small subunit ribosomal RNA", at positions 524 to 776 of the family's 1533-position model. The record is from RNAcentral.